UACGAAGGGGGCUAGCGUUGUUCGGAAUUACUGGGCGUAAAGCGCGCGCAGGCGGUCUUCCAAGUCAGUGGUGAAAGCCCGGAGCUCAACUCCGGAACUGCCAUUGAAACUGUUAGACUUGAGGAUGAGAGAGGUGAGUGGAAUUCCCAGUGUAGAGGUGAAAUUCGUAGAUAUUGGGAAGAACACCGGUGGCGAAGGCGACCUUCUGGGCUGCACCUGGCACUGAGACGCGAAAGCAUGGGUGGCAAACAGG
RNAcentral lists this ribosomal RNA (253 nucleotides) under uncultured bacterium. RNAcentral's name for it is "partial 16S ribosomal RNA". It matches the Rfam family "Bacterial small subunit ribosomal RNA", at positions 524 to 776 of the family's 1533-position model. The record is from RNAcentral.